GUCGUUCAAAACGCUUGAUAAUGC
RNAcentral lists this non-coding RNA (24 nucleotides) under Arabidopsis thaliana (thale cress). The record is from RNAcentral. Lineage: Eukaryota; Viridiplantae; Streptophyta; Magnoliopsida; Brassicales; Brassicaceae.